This 515-nucleotide ribosomal RNA is filed under the name uncultured bacterium. RNAcentral describes it as "partial 16S ribosomal RNA". It matches the Rfam family "Bacterial small subunit ribosomal RNA", at positions 28 to 523 of the family's 1533-position model. The record is from RNAcentral.
GACGAACGCUGGCGGCGUGCCUAAUACAUGCAAGUCGAGCGGACUUUCAAGAAGCUUGCUUUUUGAAAGUUAGCGGCGGACGGGUGAAUAACACGUGGGCAACCUGCCUGUAAGACGGGGAUAACUCCGGGAAACCGGGGCUAAUACCGGAUAAUAUCUUUCUUCGCAUGAAGGAAGGUUGAAAGGCGGCGCAAGCUGCCGCUUGCAGAUGGGCCCGCGGCGCAUUAGCUAGUUGGUGAGGUAACGGCUCACCAAGGCGACGAUGCGUAGCCGACCUGAGAGGGUGAUCGGCCACACUGGGACUGGGACACGGCCCAGACUCCUACGGGAGGCAGCAGUAGGGAAUCUUCCGCAAUGGACGAAGGUCUGACGGAGCAACGCCGCGUGAGCGAAGAAGGUCUUCGGAUCGUAAAGCUCUGUUGUCAGGGAAGAACAAGUACCGUUCGAAUAGGGCGGUACCUUGACGGUACCUGACCAGAAAGCCACGGCUAACUACGUGCCAGCCGCCGCCGUAA